Molecule: long non-coding RNA, 3316 nt
Filed under: Canis lupus familiaris (dog)
Lineage: Eukaryota; Metazoa; Chordata; Mammalia; Carnivora; Canidae
Description: lncRNA (ENSCAFG00000051415.1, ENSCAFG00845028312.1)
Source: RNAcentral
UUUAGUCAUGACCCUAAACUAUCUGUCAAGUCAGAGUUGAUGCUAAGGAAAAGGAGUCCCAGUUUUAUAAUUGGCACUAGGCAUGGUGCUAGGUCAGAAUCAAAUGCACAGUUCUUACUCCAUUCUUACGCCCCUUUCUUAUGCUCAUCAUCUCCCAGGCAGGAUGUUGAUAAGCACAGGACUCCAGAUGGACAAGGUGAAAGAGUAAAGGAGUAGUUUAAAGAUGCAGAGCAGGAGGCAGGGAGAGAGGACAGGCAAGGGUGGGAAGGAUCCUCCUGUGGGCAUAAAGAGAGAGAAAGUCCUCUGAACUCUCUAGAAGGAGUCAGACAGGGCCUACCCACUGAGGGAAUGAAGAUUUUAGUGUUUCCAAUAGGAUCAGUGUUUUGACUGUGGGUUCAAGGAAGUCCAGCCACCAGCCCCAGACACCUAAGGCGAUGGGAGGAGCAGAAAUGGCCUGGUGGCCUCCACGGAGGGGGUAGCCAGUCCUCCUAAUGUAUCUCAGCCUUUGCAGUCUUAAAGAGGUGUGCUUUUUGAAAGUCGACCAGACUCCCCAGCCCUGUGUCCAACCUUAACCAUCCAAAAGAAACUCACAGAAGCCUCUCCCACCCACACUACCUCAAUCACAUGUCAAAAGAGUGCACCAGUAAAUAUCCUCAGCUUGCUGCCCAUAGGUGGUAAGGGCAGGGUGCCUGCCCCAGCAAGGUCUCAGGUUACCAAGACUUUCCCUCUGCACCCCCAUUCAGCGGGACAUUUUUCAUGCCUUACAAGUUUUGGUAUAAAUAAUUAAAACUAGGUUAGCCUUGUCAGAACUAAACACAUGCAGCUGCAAUAUGAUACAGCUUUUCGAGGGCGGGGGUAGGGAGGGGCUGUGUGUUUGUUUCUUGCUGAUACAUAACCCUUGCCCAGUGUAUAAGUCCACAUUCCAGGGGUCAUGUUCCCGUAUCUGUUGGCAGAAAUUAAAAGCACAUAACUAUCAGCUUCACCCCCUUCGACCAAACAGCUACCUGGACCUUGGGGCAAGCUGGCACCGCCAACGUGCAGCUGUGGGCAGUAAACUGUGUGUCUAGGUUAAUAUUGGCUUAUGUUUAUAUCUUCCCUGAUAGGUGGAUGGAAUUUGCCUAAUGAUUGUGUUUCCCUGAAAAGUUAAUCAAUGUCUAAACAAGCCAGUCACAGACCAUCACAGAGGUGUGGUGAGAUUGGACUCUGAGCACUUGUUCCCAAGGGACCAUGUCCCUGGGGUCAGAGCAACAGGAAAGCUGCAGUGAGCCAUGCAUGUGACCUGACAAGGCCCUGGGCCUCCAUUGCUGCUGGGCUCUUGUACGCAUUAUGCAAAGCUCUAGAAUCUCAACACAAGAGAUGCACCUCCUGGGCAUCACGUGACCGGUCUGACCAAGGUGCCUGGCUGUAGCUUUCUUUAGGCCUCUUCAUCACCGUGACCAGGGGACCUUUUUGCCAGCUUCAUCAGGGCCGUUCAUCUCAGAGUUGUCAGCCAGAGGGGCACUUGCAUCCAUGCAAACAUGUAGUGAGCAUACAUCAUGUGCCACAUUUGGAUGAUACUGAAAGGAAAAAAGUGACUGAAAUCCCAGCCCUAGAGCAGCUGACAGUUGAGAGAAAGGAAACAAAAAAGGCAAUUACAAUUUGGUAUAUGACACGCUUCAUGAGGGAGUCUGCCUCCCUGAACACAGCCUGGGGGAUCAGGGAUGCUUCCUCAAGGAGAAGAAUAAAAUAGCAGAACCCAGACGGCAGAUGAGGGUUUGCCAGGUUGGUGGGUCCUCAAACACAUCCACAUCCUAAUCACUAAAACCUGUGAAUAUUACCUCAUCUGGCAAAGGGCACUUUGCAGAUGUGAUUAAGUUAGGUAUCUUGAGAUGAGAGAUUAUCCUGGGUUAUCUAGGUGGCCCCAAAUGAUUUUUUUUUUAAGAUUUUAUUUAUUUAUUCAUGAGAGACACAGAGAGAGAGAGAGAGAGAGAGGCAGAGACACAGGCAGAGGGAGAAGCAGGCUCCAUGCAGGGAGCCCGAUGUGGGACCUGAUCACGGGAUUCCAGGAUCACGCCCUGAGUUGAAGGCAGGCACCAAACCUCUGAGCCACCCAGGCGUUCCAGUGGUCCCAAGUGUAAUCACAAGUGUCUUUAUAAGAGGGAGACAAAAGGAGAUCUGACCUUAGCCAAGGAGAAAGCAAGCUGACCACAGAGCAGACUGGAGUGAUGUGCUUUGAAGAUGAUAGGAGCUGAAAAAACAAAACAAAACAAAACAAACAAUGAAAUGGAUUCUCUCUUCAGAGCCUCCAGAAGGAACCAGCCCAACCAAUACCUUGACUUUAGCCCAGUGACACAGAUUUUAGACGUCUGGCCCACUAAAGAUUAAGAGAAUAAACUUGUUUUGAGCCACUAUGUUUGUGGAAAUUUGUUACAGCUGCGAUGGGAAACUAAUACAGCAGGGGUGGGGUUUAGAGAAGCAAAUGGCCCAAGCAGAGGACACAGUAUGGCAAAGGAUGGGUAUGACAAAUCUUAGGACUGUAGCUGGAGGACUGUGUUGGUGUCAGGGAGUGGAGAGAAUGGUGUGGUGAGAGUUCAGAUUGCAGAGGUGCUUAAGGUCAAGACUCUGACCCUAUAAGUCACAUCACUGAACUAGGGUUUCUUCUGAGGGUGCUGGGAGUCAUUAAGAGCAUUUUGAACAGGAAUGAGAUCAAAUGGUGACAAAGGAAGAUAACUCUGGGUAGCAAGGUAGAGUCCCAAUUGAGGAGGGUGGUGUGGCCUAAGACCAGAAGGGAGGCUGCAGGCUACAUUCAGUCCUGGGUCUGUGGCUCUAGUAGCUCCCAUUGGAUUUCCAAGCUCUCCUCCAAAGUUCCAAGGGACCAGAUCAACUUAAUUUCAUUCAAUUAAAUACUGAAUCAUUCCUGUCUUGUACAGAAGUGUCCAGGUUUGUCCUUUAUAGUAAUUGCCUACAAAUAACACUGUGUUAGGCUUGAGUUUUUGAGAUAUAAAAUUAGGCUAUGCAGGUGGAUUGUUCCAAAUAGAUCUUAUGUAACUAUAAUGAGGAACCUACAUAACUUGUGAUAGCAGCUGGGCCUGGAACUGGUGGGCUAAGAUUUGAGGCCCGUGUUUCUAUGUCUUUAGCAGAUUAUAUCGGCUACUGUUGAUUGAUGCUGUCUGGUCUCUGGACCCUCCUAAGGUGCCAUUUUGGUGUCUGCACCAAAAUCCAGAUUUUCUUACACUCUCCUAGAUGCCUCUAGACAGAACUUGAUACAAACCUAAAUCCCUGCAGGAGCCAGUCAAAAGAUAAACAGAGAAUGGUGAACCCUGUUCUGCCUAAAAGC